UUCUUUGACAAUUUGUUAAAUAAACCAUAUGACAGACUACAAUGCAAUGUAGUAUGGAUAUUAUCUUGUUCUUAUUAGUUACAAGUGCGAAUUUGUGAUGGAUUGAGUAGGCUGAGAGGUAACUCGUUUAAAAUGCUAGAACUUACAAAAUGUAGGGAAAGAGAUAAUAGUGGUUUGUUAUGAAAUGUUAUAAGGUAUAGAGGUCUAGUCGCCGAUAAUCAAAACCGCUUAUGGAAUAUAGGACGAUAACUUGCUAGUAAUACUAUAUUAUGGUGAUAUAGAGUGAAAGUAAGAUACCAUAAAUCGGUGUUGCAGUUGAGAUAUAGAGAUAUAUGUAUAAGACUAGUGCCUAGUUUGAGUAGCACAAAUCUGCAAGAUUACAUGGAUAAUUAGGAUUAACAAGAAAAAAGGGUUUUUUAAAUUAAUGCUUCUAACGUGUGUGAAAAUUGUUGGUAAUGAAUCCAAUAUGGUCUAGGGUAUUUAUACUAGGUAUUAGAGGAAAUAAGGUCGCUCCUUAUCAGGACUAAUACUUGCCAUUGACUGAAUAAUAAUUGUUCAUAAUGAAUUAGUGUGAGAAACACUAUUUAACAAAUUGUCAAAG
Molecule: non-coding RNA, 601 nt
Filed under: unclassified sequences
Description: ROOL RNA
Rfam family: ROOL RNA
About the family: Firmicutes, Fusobacteria (1 example), Tenericutes (1 example). Environment (Cow rumen (57))
Source: Rfam by way of RNAcentral